GAAAUGCGAUAAGUAAUGUGAAUUGCAGAAUUCAGUGAAUCAUCGAAACUUUGAACGCACCUUGCGCUCCUUGGUAUUCCUUGGAGCAUGCCUGUUUGAGUAUCAUGAAAUCUUCAAAGUAAAUCUUUUGUUAACUCAAUUGGUUUCUACUUUGGUAUUGGAGGUCUUUGCAGCUUCACACCUGCUCCUCUUUGUUCAUUAGCUGGAUCUCAGUGUUAUGCUUGGUUCCACUCGGCGUGAUAAGUUAUCUAUCGCUGAGGACACUGUAAAAGGUGGCCAAGGUAAAUGCAGAUGAACCGCUUCUAAUAGUCCAUUGACUUGGACAAUACUUUUAUGAUCUGAUCUCAAAUCAGGUAGGACUACCCGCUGAACUUAAGC
RNAcentral lists this unclassified non-coding RNA (378 nucleotides) under plant metagenome. Its description in RNAcentral is "partial contains 5.8S ribosomal RNA, internal transcribed spacer 2, and large subunit ribosomal RNA". The stretch from base 1 to 105 matches the Rfam family "5.8S ribosomal RNA", at positions 50 to 154 of the family's 154-position model. The record is from RNAcentral.